This 400-nucleotide ribosomal RNA is filed under the name uncultured Strobilidiidae. RNAcentral describes it as "partial small subunit ribosomal RNA". It matches the Rfam family "Eukaryotic small subunit ribosomal RNA", at positions 30 to 432 of the family's 1831-position model. The record is from RNAcentral. Lineage: Eukaryota; Ciliophora; Spirotrichea; Choreotrichida; Strobilidiidae.
GCUUGUCUCAAAGAUUAAGCCAUGCAUGUCUCAGUAUAAGUUCCUGUACGGCGAAACUGCGAAUGGCUCAUUAAAACAGUUAUAGUUUAUUUGAUGGUCGUUCCUUACAUGGAUAACUGUGGUAAUUCUAGAGCUAAUACAUGCACCCAUGCCCGACUUUGUGGAAGGGUUGUGUUUAUUAGAUAACAGACCAAUAUUCCUCGUGUCUAUUGUGGUGAAUCAUAGUAACUGAUCGGAUCGCAUGGGCUACGCCCGCGACAAACCAUUCAAGUUUCUGCCCCAUCAGCUUUCGAUGGUAGUGUAUUGGACUACCAUGGCUUUUACGGGUAACGGAGGAUUAGGGUUCGAUUCCGGAGAGGGAGCCUGAGAAACGGCUACCACAUCUAAGGAAGGCAGCAGG